UACGUAGGGACCAAGCGUUGUUCGGAUUUACUGGGCGUAAAGGGCGCGUAGGCGGCGCGGUAAGCCACUUGUGAAAUCUCUGAGCUUAACUCAGAACGGCCAAGUGAUACUGCAGUGCUAGAGUGUGGAAGGGGCAAUCGGAAUUCUUGGUGUAGCGGUGAAAUGCGUAGAUAUCAAGAGGAACACCUGAGGUGAAGACGGGUUGCUGGGCCAACACUGACGCUGAGGCGCGAAAGCCAGGGGAGCAAACGGG
Molecule: ribosomal RNA, 253 nt
Filed under: uncultured bacterium
Lineage: Bacteria
Description: partial 16S ribosomal RNA
Rfam family: Bacterial small subunit ribosomal RNA
Source: RNAcentral